RNAcentral lists this ribosomal RNA (432 nucleotides) under uncultured bacterium. RNAcentral describes it as "partial 16S ribosomal RNA". It matches the Rfam family "Bacterial small subunit ribosomal RNA", at positions 29 to 506 of the family's 1533-position model. The record is from RNAcentral.
AACGAACGCUGGCGGCAGGCCUAACACAUGCAAGUCGCACGAAGUCUUCGGACUUAGUGGCGCACGGGUGAGUAACACGUGGGAAUAUACCUUACGCUGGGGGAUAACAUCGGGAAACUGAUGCUAAUACCGCAUACGCCCUUCGGGGGAAAGAUUUAUCGGCGAAAGAUUAGCCCGCGUCCGAUUAGCUAGUUGGUGAGGUAAUGGCUCACCAAGGCUCCGAUCGGUAGCUGGUCUGAGAGGAUGACCAGCCACACUGGGACUGAGACACGGCCCAGACUCCUACGGGAGGCAGCAGUGGGGAAUAUUGGACAAUGGGCGCAAGCCUGAUCCAGCCAUGCCGCGUGAGUGAUGAAGGCCUUAGGGUUGUAAAGCUCUUUCACCCACGACGAUGAUGACGGUAGUGGGAGAAGAAGCCCCGGCGAACUUCGU